This is a long non-coding RNA of Musa acuminata AAA Group (dessert banana), 887 nucleotides long. RefSeq lists it as uncharacterized. The record is from RefSeq and is a predicted model, not a curated record. NCBI's taxonomy places the organism in Eukaryota, Viridiplantae, Streptophyta, Magnoliopsida, Zingiberales, Musaceae. The transcript has 2 exons.
UCCCCGGUGGGCGGCUCUUCUUCCCCGGCGGCGCCCCUCCUGCUUUCUGAAGAACGGAUUCUUCUUAUUUCUUAGAUCUCUGCGUGUUUUAAUUUUUUUAUUUGGAUCUGUGAUAUCUAGCUUUGAUAAUUUGGUUCUUUAAUCGUAUAAAAAAGAUAGAUUCAUAAAGAUAGCCGUUACCUGAUGGAUGAUAGCUUGUGUAUAAUAAUAAUGAUAUUUCACAAAGUUAUGCAGGAAUCUUAGCCCAUGCUAAUAGAGAAGAGAAGGUGGAGAGGAUGAGCCAAACAAGUGAAUUCAAUGGUUCCAGUGCUGGUCAACAACUGUCAGAUACCUGCCAAUUUCCAAAGUGUCAUUAAUCAAAUCAUGUAAUUGUUUCAGGCAAAGAAUUUUAACUGGUGCACCGUAUAUAGGUGAUGUAAGAAACAAUUGCUGACACAGAAUAUUGAUGACGAGGAAACUAAUAACAAAUGAGGAAUAUUGCCAGCAGUAGGACAUCUUUUACUUUAUGUAUUGGGAGCUUUACAAUGAGCACAGAACAACCAGACAAGCUCACCUCCUCUACAUCGGGUGCAAUUCCUACCGAGGCUUCCAUAAAGAUCAAGCCAGGCUCUUUGGCAAAUUGUUAUCCCUCCUCAGUGCUGCAGCUUCUGUGAACAUGAUCGAGCAUCUUCCAGCCGGCUUUCGAGAUGAUUGAAUGUCUCCCUCCUGAUAAUGAACUCAUGAACGAACAGUCCUAGAAUCUUGAAUUCAUUGUAUCUAAUAUGUAAUGACUACCUGGUGAUGUCAUGGACAAGCAAUGCACCAGAAUCACCUUAUAUAAGAUAUGGUGAUUGAUGUGAAAGAUCCUUGUCCAGUCUAUAAAGCUUUGCGUCAAAUGCUUGUCAUUC